Molecule: small RNA, 872 nt
Filed under: Diaporthe sclerotioides
Lineage: Eukaryota; Fungi; Ascomycota; Sordariomycetes; Diaporthales; Diaporthaceae
Description: eukaryotic LSU rRNA
Rfam family: Eukaryotic large subunit ribosomal RNA
Source: RNAcentral
GCGGAGGAAAAGAAACCAACAGGGAUUGCCCUAGUAACGGCGAGUGAAGCGGCAACAGCUCAAAUUUGAAAUCUGGCCUCGGCCCGAGUUGUAAUUUGCAGAGGAUGCUUCUGGCGCGGUGCCUUCCGAGUUCCCUGGAACGGGACGCCACAGAGGGUGAGAGCCCCGUAUGGUCGGACACCAAGCCUGUGUGAAGCUCCUUCGACGAGUCGAGUAGUUUGGGAAUGCUGCUCUAAAUGGGAGGUAAAUCUCUUCUAAAGCUAAAUACCGGCCAGAGACCGAUAGCGCACAAGUAGAGUGAUCGAAAGAUGAAAAGCACCUUGAAAAGGGGGUUAAAUAGUACGUGAAAUUGUUGAAAGGGAAGCACUUGUGACCAGACUUGGGCCGGGCGGCUCAUCAGGGGUUCUCCCCUGUGCACUCCGCCCGGCACAGGCCAGCAUCGGUUCUCGUGGGGGGAUAAGACCGUCAGGAACGUAGCACCCUCCGGGGUGUGUUAUAGCCUGGCGGACGAUACCCCCGUGGGGACCGAGGUUCGCGCUCCGCAAGGAUGCUGGCGUAAUGGUCACCAGUGACCCGUCUUGAAACACGGACCAAGGAGUCGUCCAUUAGAGCGAGCGUUUGGGUGUAAAACCCGCACGCGUAAUGAAAGUGAACGCAGGUGAGAGCUUCGGCGCAUCAUCGACCGAUCCUGAUGUUCUCGGAAGGAUUUGAGUAAGAGUUUUAACGGACGGACCCGAAAGACAGUGAACUAUGCUUGUAUAGGGUGAAGCCAGAGGAAACUCUGGUGGAGGCUCGCAGCGGUUCUGACGUGCAAAUCGAUCGUCAAAUAUGAGCAUGGGGGCGAAAGACUAAUCGAACUGUCUAGUAGCUGG